AAUUUAGGUAAAUACUCUUGUUUCUUUAGGCAUGACCUCAGUUGGUGUCAAGAUUUCAAAAGCCCAUGUAAUACGUCACACAUUCCUGACUCAAAAUCCUCGCCUCCCAUGUAAAGGGGUUGCACGUUACAAGGAGCCUGGAAGAAACGGCCGGGGCACACUCUGAAGGAACAGAUCCACAAAAAAGAUUCAAAAUGUCAAUAACGUCGUCAACCCAUAAGUGUGGAAUUCUCAACUCCUUCAUGUAGAUGAUUUUUCAGGAUGCUGAUGUAUUUGAAGUAGAGGAUGAGUGGCAUGGUGCGGUGUGAAGUCAUGCAGGUGGGAGGUUACCUCCGAGAGACUCUCAAGCAGGGGAAGAAGAAAGACCCCAGGCAUGGAUGAAACCAGCAGAGCAGGGAGCCAACACGAAACAGGGUUGCUGGGCAAAGUGGGGCCUGACCACGAGAUGGGAGCAAGGAGUUCAGGAUUGGAAAGGAACCCGAAUUGAAUACUUCGGCCACCGCAAGCGGGAAGUGGUAAAUUAAGAAAAAUAAAUCCUGAUGAUAAUGAAUUUAUUCGGCUGUA
RNAcentral lists this long non-coding RNA (564 nucleotides) under Vulpes vulpes (red fox). RNAcentral describes it as "lncRNA (ENSVVUG00000000120.1)". Lineage: Eukaryota; Metazoa; Chordata; Mammalia; Carnivora; Canidae. The record is from RNAcentral.